RNAcentral lists this ribosomal RNA (712 nucleotides) under uncultured bacterium. RNAcentral describes it as "bacterial SSU rRNA". It matches the Rfam family "Bacterial small subunit ribosomal RNA", at positions 47 to 774 of the family's 1533-position model. The record is from RNAcentral.
CCUUAACCAAAGAAGCAGCCAGCUUGCUGGAAGCGGAAAAGGGAAAGGCUUAGUGGCGGACGGGUGAGUAACGCGUGGGUAACCUGGCCCAUACAGGGGGAUAACACUUAGAAAUAGGUGCUAAUACCGCAUAACAACAGAAAGCGCAUGCUUUUUGUUUGAAAACCAAGGUGGUAUGGGAUGGACCCGCGUCUGAUUAGCUGGUUGGCGGGGUAAAGGCCCACCAAGGCGACGAUCAGUAGCCGGCCUGAGAGGGUGGACGGCCACAUUGGGACUGAGACACGGCCCAAACUCCUACGGGAGGCAGCAGUGGGGAAUAUUGCACAAUGGGGGAAACCCUGAUGCAGCGACGCCGCGUGAGUGAAGAAGUAAUUCGUUAUGUAAAGCUCUAUCAGCAGGGAAGAAAAUGACGGUACCUGAGUAAGAAGCCCCGGCUAACUACGUGCCAGCAGCCGCGGUAAUACGUAGGGGGCAAGCGUUAUCCGGAUUUACUGGGUGUAAAGGGAGCGUAGACGGCAGUGCAAGUCUGGAGUGAAGGGCGGGGGCUCAACCCCCGGACUGCUCUGGAAACUGUACGGCUGGAGUGCAGGAGAGGUAAGUGGAAUUCCUAGUGUAGCGGUGAAAUGCGUAGAUAUUAGGAGGAACACCAGUGGCGAAGGCGGCUUACUGGACUGUAACUGACGUUGAGGCUCGAAAGCGUGGGGAGCAAACA